RNAcentral lists this ribosomal RNA (497 nucleotides) under uncultured bacterium. Its description in RNAcentral is "partial 16S ribosomal RNA". It matches the Rfam family "Bacterial small subunit ribosomal RNA", at positions 28 to 507 of the family's 1533-position model. The record is from RNAcentral.
GUUGAACGCUGGCGGCGUGCCUAAUACAUGCAAGUCGAGCGAACAGAUAAGGAGCUUGCUCCUUUGACGUUAGCGGCGGACGGGUGAGUAACACGUGGGUAACCUACCUAUAAGACUGGGAUAACUUCGGGAAACCGGAGCUAAUACCGGAUAACAUUUGGAACCGCAUGGUUCUAAAGUGAAAGAUGGUUUUGCUAUCACUUAUAGAUGGACCCGCGCCGUAUUAGCUAGUUGGUAAGGUAACGGCUUACCAAGGCAACGAUACGUAGCCGACCUGAGAGGGUGAUCGGCCACACUGGAACUGAGACACGGUCCAGACUCCUACGGGAGGCAGCAGUAGGGAAUCUUCCGCAAUGGGCGAAAGCCUGACGGAGCAACGCCGCGUGAGUGAUGAAGGGUUUCGGCUCGUAAAACUCUGUUAUUAGGGAAGAACAAACGUGUAAGUAACUGUGCACGUCUUGACGGUACCUAAUCAGAAAGCCACGGCUAACUACGUG